AUUAUAAUUAGGAGAGACCUUAGGGGAGGUCUUCUAUGAGGGGUUCAUGAACCUUUGAACACUUUGCUACUCAACGUGUGGUCACUGGACCAGCAGCACCAGCAUUCUCCGGGAACCUGUUACAAAUGCAGAAUCUGAGCCCCCACCCCCGGCCCGCUGCACCAGAAUCUGCAAUUCAAAAAGAGACCACGAUCCCCAGGUGAUACAUGUGUACAUUAAGGUUUGAGACCCACUGGUCUAUUGAAUCCAUUGGGCAAAAUGUUUUGCAUUGUCUAUGAGGGAUCCCGGAGUUCUCAUGUGAUUUUCACAUUGACCUGUGACUACAAAAUUUAAUUGCUGCUUUGGAGAUUUGUGAAGUCCAGGGCAGUGUUGAUAAAAGGUUUUGCUUCCCUGAUCAAUCCCUGUGAGUUAUUUGGAGCUAGAGAUUUCUUCUAGGGUUAUACAUUAUGCAAGUAUGGAAGACGGUGAAGAAGUCUAUGGAAGGCUGUUGUCUCCAAACCUGGUGGUUGGCCUGAACUCACCAUAGAUCAGCAGGGCUGAGAGUCCGGGAGACAGGAAGUAGGGGAGAAUAAGGAAAACCUGGAAUGCACAAGGGACAAGAAGAACCCAGAUCUGUCACAGGUGACCUGCAGAAGGAAGCUACCAGGAGGCUGCUCUGCUCGCGCACCUGGCCCAGGACUCAUUGGAGCUGGAAGAGCUGCAGGCCUGGCCCGUAAUCAGCAACACCGAGCAGGUGCUUCAACAUCGCCCAGCCCUUCUGAGCCUACUGGAUGUGGCUUCACUUCUGCCUUCCAGUUCACUAUAGGUUUCUUUUGUGGCCAACCUUGGCCUGGAAACAUACAGCAGAAAGAAUCCUGGGAAACACAGUUCCAGCUUAGAUAUUGUUGCUGCAGUACAAGUUCUCAAACUCAACCUUCUCCUGGGCUAGGUAGUGCUUCUCGAACGUCAAUAUGCAGAGAAAUCACCUGACAGUCUUAUAAAAAUGCCAGAUUGAACUCAGCAGUUCUGGAUGAGGCCUGGGAUUGAGAACGUCUUGCAUGGUCCCAGGAGGUGAGGAACACUGUCUUCAGGAGCUAACAGUCCCGCUGGGUCAGGGAGCUUCCACGAGAUGACUAGAGCUGCACAUUAGGAUUACCUGGAGAGAUUUAAAACUAUCCCAUUGCUGGGCUGCGCCAGAGACCACUGACAUCAGAACACAGAUGGGUGAAGCCCAAGCCUCAGGAUGUUUAAAGUCCCUCAAGUGAUUCCAGAGUGCAGCUAGGGUUGAGAAGCACUGAAUUAGGGAAAGUUGGUAUGAAUUUUUUGGUGCUGGAGGGAAGUUCAGGGGUGGGAGGGAGGCAGGGAGGGCUUUCUAGAAGAGCAGCUUCUAGAGUUUCCCAAGGGAAGGCCCUAGAACGGCACUGUCUGGGACAGGAGCUAUGAUCCCCCAGUUGUUAUGGGUCGUCUGAAACUGCAUUGAGCAAAAUACACACUUGAUUUGGAAAAUUUGGUAUAAAUAAAAUAAGGAAAAUAUUUUAUUAA
Molecule: long non-coding RNA, 1521 nt
Organism: Pan troglodytes (chimpanzee)
Lineage: Eukaryota; Metazoa; Chordata; Mammalia; Primates; Hominidae
Exons: 2
Source: RefSeq, a predicted model, not a curated record